Molecule: ribosomal RNA, 155 nt
Filed under: Tremella everniae
Lineage: Eukaryota; Fungi; Basidiomycota; Tremellomycetes; Tremellales; Tremellaceae
Description: 5.8S ribosomal RNA
Rfam family: 5.8S ribosomal RNA
About the family: 5.8S ribosomal RNA (5.8S rRNA) is a component of the large subunit of the eukaryotic ribosome.
Source: RNAcentral
AACUUUCAACAACGGAUCUCUUGGCUCUCGCAUCGAUGAAGAACGCAGCGAAAUGCGAUAAGUAAUGUGAAUUGCAGAAUUCAGUGAAUCAUCGAAUCUUUGAACGCACCUUGCGCCCUUUGGUAUUCCGAAGGGCAUGCCUGUUUGAGUGUCUU